This is a long non-coding RNA of Paramormyrops kingsleyae, 4572 nucleotides long. RefSeq lists it as uncharacterized. The record is from RefSeq and is a predicted model, not a curated record. NCBI's taxonomy places the organism in Eukaryota, Metazoa, Chordata, Actinopteri, Osteoglossiformes, Mormyridae.
AAUUUUAAUAUCUCACUUUUAUAAUGUAGUUUAACAAAUGCAUCACGUGGUAACUGAUUUAUGGUAAACAUCAAUAUCUUGCAAUAAGAAGUUUCACAUACACUGGUUUACAGAUAAAUUGUUUAAAUUAAAACAUACAUUUUGGAAGUAUUUGCCAUUAGUCUUAGAUGACAUACGGUGUGCGCGAAUAAUCAUGAAAAUAAUGAUCAUUUGUUUAUAACAUAAAAUUAAAGUUAACGAUGUGAGUAGGAGAAGUGCUACAUUAUUAACGAGUUUAGGAGUUCUGCAAUAUGUUGGCAACAUAUGCUGCUGUCAACGCACCCUUUUGGGGCAAUAUGUCACUGGCAGUGGCUGGGUGGAGUCCUGUUAUUCAGCUCUCCGUGUUCCCGUUGGGAAAAGAUACUCAGCGAGGCGCUUAUGGUGCACUCUAGUGGAGAAAAACAGUAGUAAAAUAAACGCCGUAGAUACUGUAGCGCAAGAUUGCAGAAAGGCCUCUGCUUGCUGAACACCGACAAGAACAAUUUGGCAGGUUUGUCACCAUACUAUAAGGUACUUCUGUAAGCCAUUUAAAGGAUUGAUAGUUGCCGGGGUGGGUCCUAUUUGGGUGAUUUGCAUGGUGGCAAAGUGAGGACAGCUGUUGUAUGCUGAUUGUGACCCACUCCCCUACUCCACAUUAUCGGGAGGAUCCUGGCCUGGGGUCACCAAAAGGUCAACACACGUCAUAGGAAGACACUGGCCAUUGGUGAAUCUGGCUGUUUGGCAGCUUCCUCUGUGCCCCCCCCCUCCCCUCUGGUGGUGGCCCAGUGUCAAGAAUGAGGGUGUGGGUGAGCUGGCAUCAAGCAACUACUGUGCUGCCUUUGUACAUUGUGCUUCUUAGCAUACAGCGAAUUGUAAAAAUGCUUAGUGUCAUGCUACGUAUUAAUCUUUAGUGCCACAGUGAGCUUAAAAAGAGCCACAGCUGAAUGGCGAUGAUCAUUUCCCUCUAUCCCGUCAAUGCAUUCUGCAGUUUUAUCAGUGCAUUCAGUGUUGUCAGGUUUAGUGGGCGUAGCAGAGCAUGGACCAGUGGUUGCUGAACUGCGCUUGUCAGCAGAAGCAGCACCUUAGGAGGUAAUCAGCCGGGUGAAUACAUUAAAGUCAGGAAAGCUUAGUACAGGCAUGUCCUGCAUUACAGCAUGUGGGUCAGCGAUGGACUGCAAAUGCAAUGGGGCUUCCAUAAGAUUUUAAUGGAGGUGAAAAAUUCCUAUUCCCUAGCGAAGUCAUAGCCAUUGUAAUGUAGUAGUGCAACGCAAUUCUCACGUGUUAGUGAUGAUGCUGGUGUAAACAAACCUACUGCCAACUGCAUUGAAGUACAGCACAUACAAUUAUGUACAGUACAUAAUACUUGAUAGUGAUGAUAAAUUUUAUUGGUUUAUAUAUGUACUACACUGUACUUUAAAAUGUUUUUUUUUAGAGUUCACUGUUUCUACUUACUAAAAACUUUACUGUAGUUUAGAAGUGUAGGCUAUAUUAUCUUGGUUUGUGUAAAUACACUCACUCUACGAUGUUCGCACAAGAAUGAAAUCACCCGACAACGCAUUUCUCAGAACGCAUCCCCAUUGGUAGACGAUGCUUGACUCUAAUUUUUCUUUUUUGUUCAAAUAAUGGUUUUCGAAUAAAGGCUGAUUGGUUUUCCUAAUCGAUGUUUGUAACCACAGUUUAUGCCAUGUCUAGUUUAGGGCAAAGGGUGGUGGAUUGAUAAAUGACCGAAUGUGUUUACCCAUCCAUCUUUCAGCCACUUACCCAGUACAAGGUCACGGGCGCAAGGCAAGGGAACACCUUGGAUGGAAUGCCUGUCCAUUGCAGGGCGCACACACUCAUUACGGGCAAUUUAGAAAGACUAAUUCAUCUAACUGCAUGUUGGCUACGGGAGGAACCCGGAGUAGCCUGAGGUAAACUGAGGUAAUCUUCACAACGUAAGGAGAACAUACAAGCUCCACAGAUACACCAAGUGAGCACGGGAUUUAAACCCCCAGCAAACACAAUACUGUUACCGUAUUAUAUGCAGUGCUUCUUAAUUAUAUCCCUGUGUAAAUAUGAAUUGCAUUGAUAAUUUAUUGGCACAAAGAUAUGUUGGUUGAGGACUUUGUGGCGAUAAACUCAGUACAAAUAACACCUGGGACCUGGCCUCUCUUUUCUAUUCAUGCAUACUUCAUCCGCAAUUGUACAUUUGCGAGAAAUGGUGCUUUCACUAAACGUCCCCUUUAAGAUCGCCCUUACUUAGGUUUCUUUUAAAAGCUCCAUCCCUCUUGAGGUUGUUGCCAUUACAUGGAGAAAGGAACCUUGUUCUGAGCCCGCUUCUACUAGCUAUGCACUCGUCGGCAGACAGAGCCUUCUGUGAGAGGCUGCAUUAUGUACUCGUUGAUGGUACGUAUGUGGGCUGCUAGGGCCGUGCUUGGUGGCCAGGUGCUCUUUAUCAAGUGUAGUAGCGUUGAGGUCGGUGGGGAGAGGAGGGGUCAGGCAGAGUAAGUCACAGGAGUGAACUCCCAGUGGGGAUGAGCCGGUCUGCAUCUGGGUUCCCUUUUGUUCCUGCAGAAUACACUUGUUUCUUAGAUGUACGCUGCGCAGACUGUGAAGUACAAAUUAAUUAAUGGUAAAUUAAUGUUAAGCAGUGCAGUGUUUUCACACUGUGGCUUGCAGUGUUCAGUGAUCGGAAGACCGCUCAGUAGUAAAGCAGAGUAAUGUAGCGAUAAUAAAUGUCAACUGUCAAGUAUGCUUUGUGUUUCUCCAAGCCCCCCAAUUGAUGUACAGCACGUAAAUAUUAAAGACUGCAAAUAUAUUCAUUCAACAAGGAGCAUGGCUUAUUGAUCAACAGCAUUAUGCUGUCAUUUGUGCUAAAUGAUGCUGGAACGAUUUCUAUAAUUAUUGCGAUAAUAAAUCCUGUGUUUCAAUGAAAUGUGUUUAGAAUGACAGAAGUAAACACAUUUAUGAAUUGCAGAAAUAUGAACAACAUUAAGCAUAAACUAGAAGAUCCGGCCAUUAUCUUUUUAAAUAACCAUGUUCAUUUUAGGAUAAGAAAGAUAUUAAUAAGUGGAAACAAACUGUACUGUUAGCCAAAAAUACAGACUAUGAAAUGCAAUCCUUAGACCUCUUGACUGGUAAAUUGAUGGACUGCAGUAGUACUUUGUGCCCAGUGGGGGCAGUCAUGCUCAAGCCUUUUCGUGGCCUAAAUCAGGAGGUCCAAAUCCUAGCCCAGAAGGGCUGGUGCCUACGCAGGAUUUCAUUCCCCCUAAGCACUUAAGCACUCGAUUGAACUAAUUAUUUGCCUAAUUUAACUAAUUUACCAUCCUCUCUCAGACCUGCAGUUGUUGACAGUUUAAAAGUGAGCUAAAAAUCCUGUCUGUACACAGGCCUGUUAGGGGCAACGUUAGGGACAUGCACUCUCAUUAAUCUGAAUUGUUCCAGUAAAAUAUCCAGGUGUAUUAAUAAUUAAAUAUUGUAAGUUGUUUUGGCAGAAUCACUUUGCUUAAAUUUUCCUACAAUGUCCAGGCACUAUUCUUCUAUUAAUACACCUGGGAGGGAAAUAUUUGGCUGUGUUCAUGCUGCAUUUUCAGCUCUUAAAUUUCUUUUUUUCAUUUUAAUAUGACUGAUGAUAGAUUGUAAAGUUAACGACUCUGGACUGGUCAUUUUCAAAGAUACACUGAAGAUAGAUUACCGGUCAUAUAUAGUAUGGAGUAAUAUAUGUAAGUUUCUUGGUUUGUACAUAAUUCAAUUUAUGUGCCUUUUCUUUAGAAUAAGGCAAUAUUUAUAAACCACUACAGUUUUUCAAGAGGUAUAGAAUGAAUCAACUAAAAAUUGUGGAAAAUUAGACAUUUUGCAUUCAACUAAUAUGUUGAACAGUGUAAUAGGGGUCAGUUUAAAGGGCUCGUAUUUGUUGAGUUACGCUUUGUUAAUGUCAGAAUGUAUUUGUUUAAUUGUCUUUAUUCCUUAUGCAACACGCCGUGGUUUGGGUCACCCUAAUUUUACCAUUGCAGGUACCCACAGGCUGUUCCUGUUCAGACCUGUUCUGGACCCUCUCCUGACCCUUAGCUGCUUAAUUUAGUACAGAGAAGAUCUAAAAUACACAGCACCAAAUUAUCCCGAUGUUCAAAAAGAGGAGUAACACAAUUGCACGUAUGAUUCUAAUCCAGUAGAGGUCUCUGUAACAUAAUUUUAGCCACUUAGAACCACACUGAGUGGAAGGUGGUAUAUUGGACCAGAGAACCAUAACUUAAUAUCUUAAUUGUGAGAUACAAUAUAUAAAAAUGUAAAAAUAUUGAGAUGACCUAGAUACACAAAAACUGAUAUUAGUUAUUGAAUGAUUAAUGUUCUUUAAGCUGCGUAUGUUACAAUUUGCAUUCUUAUAACUGUAAAUGGUUUAUAAACAGAAGAGUCAGUGAUAUUCUAGCAGUAAUGGAAAAAAUACAGCUAAUAAAAUCUAUGUAGAUGCAUAUGAAGGAAUGGUUUUUGGUGGGUUAGAGAGUUAGACUCUUAGUUAACUCACAGAUAUUCAGUAUAAGGAUUUGGAUCUGUCCCCUGGUCUGUGUGGGGUUGUCA